CAGCUGGCCAGCACAGAUGGAGCCCUCAGCAAUCAGGGCUAGUAGCCAAUAUAAGUGAGGCAGAGAAAAGAGAGGCCCUUUUCAGGGGCUGUGGGUUUCAACUCUCUGGAUUUUGACCUGAGGGUACUCAGCAGAGCAGUGCUGGCUGCUCUGCUCCCCUGGGCUGCACGUCAGGGAUGCUCUAACACCUCACAACUGCAACUGCCUCUGCUUCAGUCUUGGUCCUUUGGAUAAAGACCUCAUAAAGGCCAACUGAGGAGCUGCUGUGAGCAGAAUGUAUCUCAACUUCAAUAAACACGGGCCUGAACAGAGUCCCAAUCUGGAAUCCAUGCUGGCCGAACUCCUGGAGGCUUGCUGCUACCUGGGUACCAUAAAGCUUGAAAGCCAAGCAGGAAGGGGUAAAAUCUACAAUUUGUCAUCAACAGGAGCUCCACCAGAUCUUUUCUUCCAAUAACUAUAAACCCUGCUUGCUGAGGUAGAACAAGGCUUUGAGUUAGAGCAACUGCAGGAGGCAAAAAAGAAUGCCAGAGAUAAACAUGCAUGAAAUGGAUGGAAAUGACAGGAAGGAACCGAUGGGACCUGCAAACAGAGUGGCUGCACUGGAAUUGGAGGCUGUGAUUGUAUCUACAAUUAUCUUUUGAUUAAUGGAGUGUUUGACUGCUUUUUGGGAUUGUUGUGAAGUCAGAUUGGGUCUGGAAGCAGUAUUUUAUUCACGGGAAGUUUGUUUCCUUGGUACUUUGAGUCAGCACAAUAUUUAUAUCAGACUUGAAAACUCUCCAAGCAAGUUUCAGGCAAUUCUUCAAAUAAAAGGAAUGAACUGCAGAUGACUGAAGACACAAGGUUUUUAUUUUCUGAAACUUGGACCUCUGUCUCACACAAGGGCUCAGUUCUUGCCUCUUACCUACAGAGUUUGCCAGGACCAUCUGCCUUUGAGCUGCCUGGUGCAGGCAGUGGAGUGCCAGUAAGUACCAAUGCUUUUACAGCUCUGUGCAGGAAGGGGCUGUUCCCUGCUACCAGCCCACCAAGGGCCUAAAAGUCACCAGCUUUUAUAACACAUAUGACUGUACAGGUUCUGGAUUAGAUUUACUACAUCACUCCUGCUAUAUGGUUUUUUGAGAACAGUGAUCUUGGUGCAGACAAAUUUUUUAUAGAGUAAAUUCUAGUAAAAAAACCUUUCCAUAUAUAUACAUCUGCCAAUCAUAGAUAAAAGUCACAGUGAUAUUGCAUAAGUUAGCACUGCUAAUGGAACACUAGAACUACUUUAUAACAUUAAAAACUGUCCUCUUCCUUUUUAAUCCAGGGGUUUUUUUCACCUCAAUUAAUACAAUUGACAGACAUCAUUCUCUCUCACAUGUAUGUCUUGUUUAGUAGAAGCACUACAUUCCAGUCACUCAUAAAGGAAAAGAAAAUAUUCACAAGGGGAAAAGUGCUCUUUUAAAGCCUGUGUAAAAACAAUUCUUUUUAUAAAGUUGCUUGUCCCUACUCAAGUUCCUAUUCAUGUUAGCCCAGUUUAAUUCAACUGAAGGCAAAACAGAAAUUUCUAGCAAGACAUUUUCUUUGUUUCUUCAAUGCAAUCCUGAAUAAGAAAAAUUAAGUUACAGUGAAGAUUACAGUGAAUAAAUGAACCAGAAGGGGUAUAGGCAUGCAUGCCUUAGGGAGAAGUAUGCUACUCUUCUUGGUGUAAAACUGGAAUAUUUUGAAUUCUUAUGGUAAUUUUUCUUGCCUGCUAACCUGAAACUUUAUUUUUACUCUCUGUGUUGGCCUAAACACUACUGCAGACCCUUACAAUGAACCUCUUAAGUUAAGACUGGUGCCAGCCCGUAAGUACUGACCUGACCCUGUGCGAUGCAGUGAGACAAGUAACUUCUUCUCCUGUAAAGGGCUGAACAAGCCUACCAGUGUCUCUCUCUGAAAUACAGCUGUUAAUUUGGAAGUGUUAACAUGUACCACCUGGUCCUGUGAGGAUGGGAUUAGCCAAGGGUAUCAUUAACACUAAUAACUUGUUGAAUGAAAAAUAAAAAUGAAAGCUGAGGAAGUCUGCAAGGGGUGUAAUUGCUCCAAAAUUAACUUUCCAAUAUUUCUACCUUAUGGAAUGUCAUAUUUGCUCAGAAAUGUAGACAGCCAAUGAGCAGAUAGUACGUUUAUUGAUGAACAAGUGAAAAAAGCAUAGUGUUUAUUUUUCCACCUUUGAUGUUGAUUGCACCUUGUUUUCUUCCACUUGUGUCAGCCCUUGUAGUCCAGGGCCAGCUAGAGUGUGUGUGUGACUGUGUAGCUACAGAAACACAUUGUCCAGCUGAUGUGUGUCCACCUCACUGUUUCUGCCACAGCAUCCUUGUCACUGAGUGAAAACCAUUCAUCCCAAUCAGCACUGUCAGAGACAUUCCUUAAAAGUGUCAGAAGUGAAUUGCUAGGUAAAUAAGGACAUGAAGGAUUGGGGGGAUG
Passer domesticus (house sparrow) is the source of this 2442-nucleotide long non-coding RNA. RefSeq lists it as uncharacterized. NCBI's taxonomy places the organism in Eukaryota, Metazoa, Chordata, Aves, Passeriformes, Passeridae. The record is from RefSeq and is a predicted model, not a curated record. The transcript has 5 exons.